CGGGGCGGAAGGGAGGAGCCAGGGUCUUCCUCCUCAUUUCUCUCUGCUUUAGUGGCAACUUGGGAAGUGGUUGGGUCACCGCCAGGGUUCCAGCUCCCAUGGGCAGCCCCCUGCCUGACUGUGGUUCCGGUGUCCCACACCUAGUCUGGUUCCCAGGCUUUGGGUAUCGGCACUUCCUCCCCGGUCUCUGGAGUCCCAGGUUGUCACAGCUGCCUGCCGCUGCUUGUCGGACAGGAUCUCAUGUUAUUUAGGCUUGUCUGGGACUCCUGGCCUCAAGCAAUCCUCCUGCCUCGGCCUACCGAAGUGCUGGGAUUACAGGCAUGAGCCACUGCACCCGGCCACCAGCAUUUGUUAAAGUCUCACCACGGAUCAGGCUCUCAUCUAAAAAACUUGAAGUUGUCAUUCUGUGUCCUUACAGUAACC
Molecule: long non-coding RNA, 423 nt
Filed under: Homo sapiens (human)
Lineage: Eukaryota; Metazoa; Chordata; Mammalia; Primates; Hominidae
Description: non-protein coding lnc-ALX4-2:2
Source: RNAcentral